CCACCUAUUUCUUUUCGUUUUUUUUCUCGUGUGCGUAUGCUCUCUUGCCUCCUUCCUCUUUCUCUUGCCAGCAAACACACACGCGCGCGAAUGCGAGACUAAGGAAAAAAAAACGUCGGGCACGGCCCGAGCGUCCCGGAAUUAUUCGCCGCUAACGCUCAUCGUAAACCCAAACAAAAUAGAGAAGAAAACAGAACUUCGUAACCACACGAAAAAAACCGAGAUGCAAGAGAAAACUGAAAGUGCAACGCCUUUUGCGUGUGGUUUGUGUAUAUAUAAACGUAUGCAGGUGCGCGUGUCUCUCGCCGUCUGCACAUCAUCCCGCAAACAAUUAGCGACUAAUGCUGAUGCUCCUUUUCUUUUUGCAUCUUUAACAGCUGCCCUGCUGACCAGAGGGACACCCCUCACUCUGCGUGGUACCUCAGCGCCCAGCACACCCCACACCGUAUGCGGUGUAUGCUCAGGCAGCUCCCUCCCCCCUCCUAUCCCCUGCCAGCGCCGGAGCCCCACUUCUCGUGGUGACAAGGGCCGAGAGUGCCUACGACGUGGCAGGGGGGGGGUCUGUGCGAUGCAUGGCCACACUGAUGUGUCGGCGGUGGGGCCCUGGGUGGCGUUGCGUCGGGGUGGCCCGCGACAGCGAACACGCGUGUGCCGUCCAUGUGGUAGGCAGGGUGUCGGCGUGGCUGGAACGCAUUGCACCCGGCCCCGACUGCCGUUGCUGGUGCGGGGGGAGGGGGCCUGUGUGCCACCCCUACGGGGAUGCACAGCAGGUGGGCGCCGGCGUGACGGGUGCGGGUGUGCGGCGACCUGCAGAGCGCGGCGGUGGUGUGGAGUAUGAGGCGGGGGCCGUGCUCGGAUGGCUGAGCCGGCGCGUUGCUGUAGGGCGUGUGUGUGCAGGGCUGCUUGGCACCACGCGAUGUGCCCGUGACAGGGCCCGGCAUAGCGUGGAGUGCAGCUAAGCUCCGAUGCACCGUGACAGAGAACGGAGGCUUCGGAGAGAAAAGAAAAUUCUCAGAAAUUUAGUUGCUUGUCGUAGAAAAGAUGGAUACCCGUGUGUUUGCGCGGUCUGCACCGCCUGUCGAGGGAGAAGAUAAUGUCUCCCUUCGGUGAAAUGGCCGAAUCACUGCGUUGCUGCCUUGUGUGCUUGCGAGCAGUGGGCCACGUAGUGGAAGCGGACUGGAUGUGAGACACCUGAAUCAGCGGGAAGGGCAUCCUCUUUGAUGUUUGUUACGAGAGUCGUGGCUGUGAACUUGAGGCUUUUUUAUUCCUAUGUUUUGCUCGCUGCUCGUGUGAGUAGCGUAUCUGAGCACAUCACUUGCAAGUACUCGGAGCCACGCGCAUAGGCCCAUGUUCGUGCGUGAUGCACCCCGACCUUUCUUUUUCUUUCAUGUGUGUUCCUAGCGCUUCCGCAGCUGACAUAACUGACUUUCUUAAUGUCUGCUUGUGCCGUAGAGUGCGCACUGAAGCUGUUCGGUUGCCGAUCAAUGGCGUGCGGCACCCACCGUGUGGUAUGCGUAUUUUAGCUGGAGCGCCCGUUGCAUGUGGACGCGCCAGGCGUGCGCGGAGGGUGUCGUGAUCGAAAGGCGGGUACAGAUGGCGAGAGAGGCUGAGCGCGGGCGGGGUGGGGAAAGAUGGCAAGCGUAAGGAUGCUCGGGAGAGAGGAGAGGAGGGGACGGCGGCGCCUUGUUUGCAUGUGUGCUUCAGCCGUUGGUUAGUCGCAACGGCGAAAACGUAGGUGCUCUCUCUCUCCUUCUCUUUUCACCGGCAAUGAAGUUGCGCAUAUUUAAGCGGAGGCGCUUGUAGACAUUGGCUUGGGUGCAUGCGAAGCUGCAGUAGCGCAUGGAAUGAACUUCGCUCGAGUGCCUCUGCACCGCGUGUAUGCAUACUGGGCUUUCGUUCGCCAACACAUCUCUCUAUAGCCAGCAAGCGUGAAGACGUUUUUUUUUCCUACUCUGAGCGACGUGCAUUCUCCAUGCGCUGUCUUCUCCACGUGCCUCUCCCGGUCUCCUUUGG
Molecule: unclassified non-coding RNA, 2013 nt
Filed under: Leishmania donovani
Lineage: Eukaryota; Euglenozoa; Kinetoplastea; Trypanosomatida; Trypanosomatidae
Description: gene:unknown
Source: RNAcentral